This 1023-nucleotide long non-coding RNA is filed under the name Volvox carteri. RNAcentral describes it as "long non-coding RNA (VCAR_LNC001002)". Lineage: Eukaryota; Viridiplantae; Chlorophyta; Chlorophyceae; Chlamydomonadales; Volvocaceae. The record is from RNAcentral.
AGGUUUGCAGAUGCCCAACAAGAGUCCAUCGCAGAUGCGUUGCGCGUUGGCAAUUGUAUUCGGCAGGAAAACGGUAAGGGGUACCCCUUGCGGAAAGUACGGGAUUCUUUGUUUGUGCGCGAGCUUGUAUGGUUGCCCAAACAUCAUAAAUGCUGUGGUCAUAACGAGCAGUUUCAAGGAUGUUUAGGGUACGCGUAUGAAGGGCUCAUGCGGUACCGAGAGGGUAACACGUAUAGCUCUUCCUCGAUGGCUGUGUUGCGUGUUUAUGGCUUGGGAUGCGAUAACCUCCUUUCAAGCUAGAUUUCCUUCUGUUUCAGGGGUCGUUUAUCGAAUGUCUGGAUUUGUUGUUUGACAUCUUGCGCGAGGCGUGCACAAGGACAGCGCCUUCCUGUCGUUGACUGCCAUGGCUGUAGCAUGUUUCAACGGUUGGGCAUAUGCUUAGUUAUGUUUAUGUGCGCUUGCCCCGGUCCGUCGACUCUGGGCGUCGGGACGUGCAGGCCAACAGUUGGUUUCCCCGCUGAGGAACCGGCGAACAGGCUCCUUUCCUCAAACGUAUUUUGUCUAUGUCCUUUUUUCAUGUUGAAUGUAGCGAGGAGAAGUCGUGCCGCUUCUGCCAGGGCGAUUUGCCCGAUUGGAAGGAAGUCCUUACGCCGCGCACGCUUCCUCCGGCUGUUCCAGUCCUUAGCAUAUACUACAACAACACCUGCUGCAGGUAAGCUUCUAGCUCUUUCCUGUGCUUCCUAUGUGCUGCUGUUGGUAGGUGUAGUUGCAUGUGCUACAGCUCCUUCCUUCUCCCCAUCAUACCCCCGGCGGUUGAAAGUACGCGCCGUACUGGUUUGUGCGAUUUGCGGCUCUGUCGUGGGACCUAGAGUGCCGCGCUGUUGUUCAACGCACGAAAGGGCUGGCAUAGUUGCCCACGACGUUUAUUAAUUGGACGUCCUGCAAGUCAUACGGAUCAUGCGGACGGUGUCGGACAGCUGAUUGAGCCCUGAAGCACUUCAUGUUGUAAGGGGCAUUGCUCAG